RNAcentral lists this ribosomal RNA (465 nucleotides) under uncultured Klebsiella sp. RNAcentral's name for it is "bacterial SSU rRNA". It matches the Rfam family "Bacterial small subunit ribosomal RNA", at positions 338 to 795 of the family's 1533-position model. Lineage: Bacteria; Pseudomonadati; Pseudomonadota; Gammaproteobacteria; Enterobacterales; Enterobacteriaceae. The record is from RNAcentral.
CCUACGGGUGGCUGCAGUGGGGAAUAUUGCACAAUGGGCGCAAGCCUGAUGCAGCCAUGCCGCGUGUGUGAAGAAGGCCUUCGGGUUGUAAAGCACUUUCAGCGGGGAGGAAGGCGUUAAGGUUAAUAACCUUGGCGAUUGACGUUACCCGCAGAAGAAGCACCGGCUAACUCCGUGCCAGCAGCCGCGGUAAUACGGAGGGUGCAAGCGUUAAUCGGAAUUACUGGGCGUAAAGCGCACGCAGGCGGUCUGUCAAGUCGGAUGUGAAAUCCCCGGGCUCAACCUGGGGACUGCAUUCGAAACUGGCAGGCUAGAGUCUUGUAGAGGGGGGUAGAAUUCCAGGUGUAGCGGUGAAAUGCGUAGAGAUCUGGAGGAAUACCGGUGGCGAAGGCGGCCCCCUGGACAAAGACUGACGCUCAGGUGCGAAAGCGUGGGGAGCAAACAGGAUUAGAUACCCGGGUAGUC